Molecule: long non-coding RNA, 272 nt
Filed under: Setaria italica (foxtail millet)
Lineage: Eukaryota; Viridiplantae; Streptophyta; Magnoliopsida; Poales; Poaceae
Description: long non-coding RNA (SITA_LNC007334)
Source: RNAcentral
GCCUUGUUUAGUUGGGGAAUUUGGGAGGUGCCAAAUUACUGUUACAGCACUGUAGCACACUGUAGCGUUUCGUUUGUAUUUGUGAAUUAUUGUUCAAAUAUUGACUAAUUAGGCUCAAAAGAUUCGUCUCGCAAAGUACAACAAAACUGUGCAAUUAGUUUUUAAUUUCAUCUACAUUUAGUACUCCAUGCAUGUACCGCAAGUUUGAUGUGAUGGGGAAUCUUCUUUUUGCAUAGUGUCAAAGUUGGGAGUUGGGAGUAACUAAACAUGGC